AAAGAGAUUGAUGAAAUUGACAAAGGAAAAAUAAAUUGAGAAAUAGAUUAAAUAUUUUUGGAGAUUAGUUAAGAAAUGAGUGAGUAUUUAUAGAGUUUGGAGUGAGUUUUGGGGUUUUGACCGUUGGAUCUUUUUUUUACCUAUAAAAUAGCUUAGAUUUAAUCUAGAUCGUUAAUUUAAAGUUACUAUUAGAAAAAAAAAAUUAAAAAAAGAGAUUCUUCUUUUCCAACAUGUCUUUGAGCUGGAAACAGCCAGCAUGUGGGCCCAAUUGAUACUAUUUGAUUUUAAAAUUUAUAUAAAAAAAAAGGAGACAGCCAAAGCCCAACGGCUCUCUCACCUAGUGCCGACACGUGGCCCAUGGCACAGACAAGCCCAUUAGAGUUGGUCCAAGCGCGGGUCCUAGUGUUUUUCUCAUCUCCAAAUGCUCUGCCACCUCAGCGUGGGAUCCAUUGAAUAGUGUUGGGUCCAGACAAUACUUGGACCCAUAUUUGGGUCCAAUUUUGAGUUUUUCCAAAUUUUGGGUCCUUCAUUUUCUUGGGUUAGGAGAGAUUUUGGGGGAUAUUUUGGGUUUGAGUCCUUGGGUUGGAGAUGGCCUUAUAGAGUACCUUCAUGUAGAAUUUAACUAUUCAAUUUUGAAUAAUUUUCUCUUUAAAGUUUUAGCAUUGCUCCUUCACUUGGCAAUUUGACAUUUCCGUGUGAAGAUGUUCUAAAUUUUAGCAAAACAAAAGGAAAAACAAGAAGAAUUCCAAAGUCAGAAGACCUUUCAUAGCUGCCACAAGUCUUCAGAUAGUGUAGGUAGAGUAGGGUUAUCUUUAAUAUCCUCUUGGACUUUGGAUUUUGGUGGACUUGGUCCCCUUGCUGUAUUUCCAUAAAAUACGUCUGAGACCAGUGCAAGAUUAGAUGCCAAGAUCCCUUCUCAAAACCCAUUAAACCAAACAGGGUUGUGGUAAUUUCUCCUUCAAAUUUAGUAAAUCAAAUCCACUGAGAAUGAAUGCAUCUUUGCUACUUUUGGUGACUAAAUUUAUCGAAUUGGGUAGAUGGUAUUGAAUUGAUACUAAAGUUGCUAAUAAAUACUUUUUCAAUUAUCUUGGUUCUUCUCUUGAAAAUAAACUAAGUUUUGACAUUUUUAAUAAACUUCUUCCCCUUUCAAGCGCAUGCAGAGACAAAGACGGUGCUAGAAUUUAUAUUUUGAGGGGCCAAAACUUCAAGCUCUAAUGAAAACAUAUAACAAGGCAUAUAUUUUAAAACACAAAGAACAAUAAAAGCAACAAAAGAUAGUUUAAUAACCACAACAAACAAGAAAAUAGAGUAAAAUUCAAGAGUUGCGUGCAUAUAUUAGAAGGGCCAUAAGAGUUUCAAGUCUUCAUUAUCUUGGUUCUUCUGUUAUGUUCCCUAAUUUUGACGUUCAUCAUGCCCUCUCCGCUGCUGCCCCCACACCCCCCUCACCCCCCCUUCCUCCUCUCUCUUUUCUCUCUACAAAACAAGCACGCCAAGGUCCAUUUCAUAAUUCAAAGUCGCUAAAAUUUGAACGUAAUAGCUUUUGAAGAAAUAGAAUCCAAAGUCUUCAACAUGUAAAACCCUUUGAUCAAGAAAAUAAAAAAGAAGAAAAAAAGGUCUCCCUUGAAGCCACCACUAGAAUAUAUUUAUUUAUUUAUUAUUAUAUUAUACUUUUAGUUGGGACUGUAAUGAGUUGGUGGCUGUACGGACAAUACAUUCUUUACGCAGCAGCUCAUCUUACGCACUCAAUAAUACAUCAGCAUCAUCGAGCAGCCAGGACUUUUGUAGGAGAAGACGAAGAUGGAAGUGUGAAAAC
RNAcentral lists this long non-coding RNA (1813 nucleotides) under Prunus persica (peach). Its description in RNAcentral is "long non-coding RNA (PPER_LNC004103)". Lineage: Eukaryota; Viridiplantae; Streptophyta; Magnoliopsida; Rosales; Rosaceae. The record is from RNAcentral.